UCCGCUUUCGAUCCCUUUCCCUGUUAGCUCCCUCGCCCUCCAGGCUCCAGCCGUCCCCAUCUCCCACUUCUCUCCUCUAGCGGCCUGGACGGUGGUUCACGGCGGCGCGGCUCAGUGGUCAGGAGGCGCAGCGGUUGCGGCCUUGGCCUGCUUGGAGCACACGAACCAGUGGCGGCACAGGCGCCAUUGCUUUAGUGAGCGCGGGCCUCGUCGCUGGGGAGCCGGCGAGCCUGCGAUCAACGAGGCAGUGUACGAAGUGGUGUUGCGGCAGAUCGAACUGAAGGAGGAUCUUCAGUGGAGGAUAUCGUGCUACUUGAGCGUUUUCCCCUCUAUUUGCAUCAGAUAAGGAGAUCUGCUAGCUGUAGAUGUGGAGAUACGAUUACUGGACCAGAAGCUCCAUUAAACCGCUGGAUUAAAGAUUAUGAAGGUCCAGAUGGAUUUUUAGCGACAUUUUGGGCAGUCUUCUCAUCCUCUAGGUGUAUCAUGAUGUUUUAGUCUCUUUCUGGGCAGUCAUGUGCUUGUAUUUGCUACUCAUUCAGGUGAUCUCAAAUUAGAUUAUGUUUCCAUUGGUAUGCAAGGUUUUUUCUUGGAGCCAGAUGCAUGUGUACUAACCCAAAAUCAUUUCUUCUCUGAAACCGGUAGGAGAUUUUAUCUGGUGCUCCUGUAUGUCAUCAGAUACUUUCCUAUGUUCGUUGGUUUACACUUAUUGUUAUUUUUGUGUGCAACGGGUCUUCUAGCUUACUCAAGCAUUUUCUUUGUGCAGACCUAGCUGUGCUCCUUGAGUUUCUACCUUGGUGCAUUCGAGUCGUCAAUUUUGGACAACCCAACAGAUAAAUCUAUAGGUAUUGUAUGUGUAAGCUUACACAUUAUUCUAUGGCCUAUUUUUUCUUUCUGCAGGCCAAUUUCAAACCUCCAACAAGGUUCCAUGUUUUGAUGUCAUGGAAUUCUUGAACAACAUGGAUUUGCAAGGAAUCGGUUUUGGACAAUUGAUGAUAAUCCACCUCCUUCGCUACUAAAUUAUGCAAUUAAAGCUUCUGUGAUCUUAUUCUGAAGCCCAUUGAAGAUGAAUUAAAGAUGUGGCCACACAGGUUGAAUGCAGCAUGGCAAUACUUCCUCUCUGGAUACUCACUUUUUUCCCCUGUUUCUUAUCACCCUGUUCUUCCCAGGUGGUUCCAACAGAUUCGUACUACCCAUGUGCUGUGACAAAGCUUAGGCUAGACAUCACUAGAUUGUAGUCCACGAGGACUCUCUCAUGAUACUGCCCAAGGAUCUUUUGCUUGGUAGUUAAAGGUGAGCUUGCCUGAUGCAUAUUAUUCUCUUCUAUUUAGCACUGUCAAUGCAUAUUGUUCUUUUAGUCAUCCAUGACAUUAUCCUGCUUUUUACAACAAAAGAAAAAUUACCUGCCUUGAUUUGUGUUUGGUAAGAAGAUCUGGUUGACACUUAAUCUAUUAUGGUAUACACUAUACCUGAGAUUAAAUCUAAUAUGCUCUCUUAGAAAAUCCUUCCUUUUUCAUUCUCAGCUGAACAUUAUUAUUGUUUUGAAGCUAAUUACCUCAUUUCUCUGCAUGAUCAUCGACAUUCCUGAUAUGUAAUCUGCCUGAGCAACACACUAACCCAAGGGAAUGACCAGCAUGUUAUCUAUAUGUCAUUGGAUCUAAAGAUUACACUUAUUCGCCCUGUUUGACUUAUUUGUGAAACUUCAUGACGUUCCUAAUCUUUCUCUUAAUAUGAUAUAAAUCAUUACUACCUGAAUGAUUUAGUGUUGU
This is a long non-coding RNA of Lolium rigidum, 1766 nucleotides long. RefSeq lists it as uncharacterized. The transcript has 7 exons. The record is from RefSeq and is a predicted model, not a curated record. NCBI's taxonomy places the organism in Eukaryota, Viridiplantae, Streptophyta, Magnoliopsida, Poales, Poaceae.